UGGGCCACUUGAGUGCACUGCAUUAU
RNAcentral lists this non-coding RNA (26 nucleotides) under Homo sapiens (human). Lineage: Eukaryota; Metazoa; Chordata; Mammalia; Primates; Hominidae. The record is from RNAcentral.